UGGUCCGAGAGUGAUUUUCUCACUUCU
Molecule: non-coding RNA, 27 nt
Filed under: Mus musculus (house mouse)
Lineage: Eukaryota; Metazoa; Chordata; Mammalia; Rodentia; Muridae
Source: RNAcentral